GGUGUGCUCAGAGGGUUCCUCACUCUGGUGCAGCCACACUGAGGGGUUCUUGCCCUGCUGCUGCUUCCCAGGGGAUUCUCCCUUGGCUGCACUGAUUCCUGACUGUUCUCAGGUACUCCAGAACUUUCUAUGUUGUAACUGAGGAGGGGCUGAAACUUUCCUGUCCAUCAUUUUAGUGGUGAUUUUUGUUCCCUCUGUGACUCAGGGUGUGAUGUACAGCUGGGUGUCAGAAUAAGGGAUUGCAGCUUUAAAUAAGAAAUUAAAUCCUCUCUUUUCUCACUUUAUGCUUCUCCUUUGCUCUUCUGAAAACUUAAUUUUGAAAGAUGUGAAACCUUUCAGUUUUUCCC
Molecule: long non-coding RNA, 347 nt
Filed under: Zonotrichia albicollis (white-throated sparrow)
Lineage: Eukaryota; Metazoa; Chordata; Aves; Passeriformes; Passerellidae
Description: lncRNA (ENSZALG00000011720.1)
Source: RNAcentral